Molecule: transfer RNA, 78 nt
Filed under: Arenivirga flava
Lineage: Bacteria; Bacillati; Actinomycetota; Actinomycetes; Micrococcales; Microbacteriaceae
Description: tRNA-Met
Rfam family: tRNA
About the family: Transfer RNA (tRNA) molecules are approximately 80 nucleotides in length. Their secondary structure includes four short double-helical elements and three loops (D, anti-codon, and T loops).
Source: RNAcentral
GGGGCGGUAGCCAAGCUGGUCAAGGCAGCGUGCUCAUAACACGACGAUCCGCGGGUUCAAGUCCCGCCCGCCCCACCA